GUCGACAGCCAUACCACCCUGAACACACCCGAUCUCUUCUGAUCUCAGAAGUUAAGCAGGGUCGGGCCUGGUUUGUACUUGGAUGGGAGAAAACCAGAGUAUAACUGUGGCAUAUGUGACA
RNAcentral lists this ribosomal RNA (121 nucleotides) under Erinaceus europaeus (western European hedgehog). The record is from RNAcentral. Lineage: Eukaryota; Metazoa; Chordata; Mammalia; Eulipotyphla; Erinaceidae.